NNNNNNNUCCUCCCUCUCUCCCUCUGAUUCUCUGAGUGUCUCUCUCUUUCUCUUCCUCCCUCUUUCCCUCUGUUUCUCGGUGUCUGUCUCUAUUUUUCUCUGUCCCUGUCUGUCUGUAUCUUUCUCCCUACCUUUCUCCCUCCCUCUCUGUUUCUCUGUCUGCCUCCGUUUUUCUCAGUCUCUUUUUCUCUGUCAGUCUCUCUGUUGUCUCUCCCUCCCUUUCUCUCUCUCUCCCUCUCUCUCUGUCUCUUUUUCUCUGUCUCCCUCCCUCUCUCUGUUUCUUGGAAAAUGUGUCUGUCUCUUUUUUUCUGCCUCUCUCUGUCUCUCUUCCUCCCUCUUUCCCUCCGUUUCUCUGUGUCUGUCUGUCUGUCUCUCUCCCCCCCCUUCCUGUUUCUCUGUCUGUCUGUGUCUCUUUCUGUCUCUUUGUGUCUGUCUCUGUGCCUGUCUCUAUCUUUCUGUCUCUCUCCCUCCCUCUCUGUUUCUGUGUCUGUCUCUCACUCUGUCUCUUUUUCUCAGUCUGUCUCUCUCCCUCCCUUUCUCCCCCCCCCUUUCUGUGUCUGUCUCUGUCUCUUUUUCUCUGUCUCUCUCUCUCCCCUUCUCCCUCCCUCCCUCUUUGUUUUUCUGUGUCUGUGUCUGUGUCUGUCUCUCUCUCUGUCUCUUUUUCUCUGUCUGUCUCUCUCUCCGCCCCCUUCUCCUUCCCUCUCUCAGUUUCUCUGUAUCUGUCUCUGUCUCUCUCUCCUUCCCUCUCUGUUUCUCUGUGUCUAUUUCUGUGUCUCUCUGUCUCUCUCUGUCUUUCUCUCCCCCUCCCUCCCUUCCUCUGUUUCUCUGCCUCUCUCUGUCUCUCUUCCUCCCUCUUUCCCUCUGUUUCUCUGUAUUUGUCUCUAUGUCUGUGUCUGUCUCUCUCCCUCCCUCUCUGUUUCUCUAUAUCUGUCUCUGUCUCUCUUUCUGUCUGUCUGUCUCUCUCCCUCCCUUUUACGCCCUCUGUUUCUGUCAGUCUCUCUCUGUCUUUUUCUCNNNNNNNNNNNNNNNNNNCCUCCCUUUCUCCCUCCCUCUGUUUCUCUGUGUCUGUCUCUCUCUCAUUCUGUUUCUUUUUCUCUGUCUCCCUCCCUCUCUCUCUGUUUCUCUGUGUUUGUCUGUCUCUCUCUUUUUCUGUCUCUCUCUCUGUCUCUUUUUCUGUCUCUUUCUCCCCCUCCCUCCUUCACUUCUUCUGUUUCUCUGUGUGUCUCUGUCUCUCUUCCUCCCCCUUUCCCUGUUUCUCUGUGUCUGUCUGACUCUGUCUCUCUCUCCCUCCCUCCCUCUCUGUUUCUCUGUGUCUAUCUUUUUCUCUCUGUGUGUCUCUCUCUCCUUCCCUUUCUCCCCUCCCUGUUUCUGUCUCUGUCUCUGUCUUUCUGUGUCUCUCCCUCCCUUUCUCUGUCUGUCUCUGUCUGUCUGUCUGUCUGUCUCUAUUUCUCUGUGUCUGUGUCUCUCUUUUUCUGUGUCUCUCUCUCCCCCUCCCUCCCUCUGUUUCUCCUUCUCUCUCUGUUUCUGUCUCUGUCUCUCUCUCUCUAUCUCUGUUUCUCUGUGUCUGUGUCUCUCUUUUUUCUGUGUCUCUUUGUCUCUCUCUCCCCCUCCCUCCCUGUCUUCCUCUGUUUCUCUGUGUGUGUCUGUCUCUUUUUCUCUGUCUGUUUAUCUGUCUUUCCCUCCCUUUCUCCCCCUCUAUUUCUGUCUGUCUCUCUGUCUCUCCCUCCCUUUCCCCCCCCUGUUUCUGUCUCUUUCUCUGUCUCUCUGUCUUUGCUUGUCUCUUUGUCUCUCUCUCCUCCCUCCAUCCCUCUCUUCCUCUCUGUUUUUCUGUCUUUCUCUUUCUUCCUCCCUCUUUCCCUCUGUUUCUCUGUGUCUGUCUCUUUUUCUCUGUCUGUCUCCCUCCCUUUCUCUCUCUCUGUUUCUCUGUGUCUGUCUGUCUCUCUCUGCCCCUCCCUCCUUCUCUUCCUCUGCUUCUCUGUGUGUUUUUCUCUCUUCCUCCCUCUUUCCCUGUUCAUUGUGUCUGUCUGUCUCUCUCUCCCCCUCCCUCCCUCUCUCUCUGUUUCUCAGGGCAUCUCUCUGUCUCACACACAGAGUCUGCUGAAGGGCCCCUGGUACAUCCGAGGUCCUGAGCUGCAGAGCUAGAAGGCCCUGGCAGUGCCCCUCUAGUCCAAGCCUGGGUUCUCAUGGAGAAAGCUCUGAAGCCCAGUGAGGCCUCAGUGCAGUGCUCAGGGACACCCUGGGGUCCUGGCCCUGCCCCAUCUAAGGACU
Molecule: long non-coding RNA, 2268 nt
Organism: Monodelphis domestica (gray short-tailed opossum)
Lineage: Eukaryota; Metazoa; Chordata; Mammalia; Didelphimorphia; Didelphidae
Source: Ensembl